UGGGAGAAGCCGAUGGUGAAAAGCAGCGAGAUCGAGGAAAAAACCCAAAAGAGCGAAGGAGGAGAGAGCUCUGGUUCGAUCCAGAAACCCCAUUUCAGACUCGCUAAAGACGACACAAAGCCAUUCCUCCGCGACCCCGUCCAUUCUGCGAUCGGAUCCGAUUGAGACGGAGGAAGCCGUGCUAAGGUUGCCCCCUUUCCCUAAUUCCAAAUGACGGAGGGCAUUUCUGGUAAUUUCUUCUUUCUUUUAAGGGCUGAAACGUAAUCCAAUACUACCAAGACAAUGCGUGUGGCUGUGCGUGUGAAACUACUAAAAUAUAUUUGUUUGGUGGUCCAUGUGUCUACCAUUUCAA
Long non-coding RNA from Magnolia sinica, 352 nucleotides. RefSeq lists it as uncharacterized. The record is from RefSeq and is a predicted model, not a curated record. The transcript has 2 exons. NCBI's taxonomy places the organism in Eukaryota, Viridiplantae, Streptophyta, Magnoliopsida, Magnoliales, Magnoliaceae.